UACGGAGGGGGCAAGCGUUGUUCGGAAUUAUUGGGCGUAAAGCGUAUGUAGGCGGCUAGGUAAGUCAGGCGUGCAAGCCCGUGGCUCAACCACGGAAUUGCGUUUGAAACUGCUUAGCUUGAGUACAGGAGAGGAAAGCGGAAUUCCCAGUGUAGCGGUGAAAUGCAUUGAUAUUGGGAAGAACAUCUGUGGCGAAGGCGACUAACUGGGCCAUUUUUGACGCUGAGAUACGAAAGCGUGGGUAGCAAACAGG
RNAcentral lists this ribosomal RNA (253 nucleotides) under uncultured bacterium. RNAcentral's name for it is "partial 16S ribosomal RNA". It matches the Rfam family "Bacterial small subunit ribosomal RNA", at positions 524 to 776 of the family's 1533-position model. The record is from RNAcentral.